UGCGGUUAAAAAGCUCGUAGUUGGAUCUCGGCAAGUAGAGGGCGGUAUGCUUCGUAGCAUUACUGCCCUAUUACUUGUAGUUUUGCCAGAGGUUCCUGGGUGCUCUUAAUCGAGUGUCUAGGGAUGCUGGCAGGUUUACUUUGAAAAAAUUAGAGUGCUCAAAGCAGGCUAUUACGCUUGAAUAUUCGUGCAUGGAAUAAUAGAAUAGGAAGUUGUUUCUAUUUUGUUGGUUUUCGGAAAUCGACUUAAUGAUUAAUAGGGACAGUCGGGGGCAUUUGUAUUCAAACGACAGAGGUGAAAUUCUUGGACCGUUUGAAGACAAACUACUGCGAAAGCAUUUGCCAAGAAUGUUUUCAUUAAUCAAGAACGAAAGUUAGAGGUUCGAAGGCGAUUAGAUACCGCCCUAGUUCUAACCAUAAACGAUGCCAGCUAGCGAUCUGAGGACGUUUUUUUUGUAGACUCCUCAGGAAGCUUCCGGGAAACCAAAGCGUGUGGGUUCCGGGGGAAGUAUGGUUGCAAAGCUGAAACUUAAAGGAAUUGACGGAAGGGCACCACCAGGAGUGGAGCCUGCGGCUUAAUUUGACUCAACACGGGAAAUCUCACCAAGCCCGGACACUGGAAGGAUUGACAGAUUGAGAGCUCUUUCUCGAUUCGGUGGGUGGUGGUGCAUGGCCG
This 675-nucleotide ribosomal RNA is filed under the name uncultured marine eukaryote. RNAcentral describes it as "SSU rRNA". It matches the Rfam family "Eukaryotic small subunit ribosomal RNA", at positions 614 to 1290 of the family's 1831-position model. The record is from RNAcentral.